This is a non-coding RNA of Eimeria necatrix, 46 nucleotides long. The record is from Rfam. NCBI's taxonomy places the organism in Eukaryota, Apicomplexa, Conoidasida, Eucoccidiorida, Eimeriidae.
AAAUAGGUUUUUUUUAAAACCCCUUAAAACAUAUUUAAAGAUCCCA